Molecule: non-coding RNA, 12286 nt
Organism: Oryctolagus cuniculus (rabbit)
Lineage: Eukaryota; Metazoa; Chordata; Mammalia; Lagomorpha; Leporidae
Source: RefSeq, a predicted model, not a curated record
AAAAAAAAAAAAAAAAAAAAAAAGAGGACAGUGUUUUGAAGGAUGUUAUUUCCAUAGCUGGAAGUCUCAGACGUAACCUGAAACACCUGUGCCCUGGGUGUGCUGUCCUGGCAUGGAGACCCUGCCCUCGAGGGCUGGGGUUGCACGUGGCCUUGGCCAGGGCCUCUGGACACCAAGUGGGACUGAGAAAUGCCGGAACUGGGAGGGAACUGAGGAAGUUGCCCAUGUGUGUGACACUGUGGCUAGGCAUGGAGGUCUCUGAGCUAAAAAUAAACCUAAUAAAAGGAGCACUCCCAUGUGGAGCACCUACGAACUACUUUACACGUCAACGUACUGAACCUCCACCUUGAUCCUGGGGCUCCUUUGCUCUUAAGCUUCAUGGCCGCUCAAUGACUCAUCAGGUGGGUGAUGCUGUCAUCACCAUUGUUCAGAUGAGAAAUUCCAAGGUACAGGGAGGCCAGGACAUUGUUCAAGGUCACCCAGCAAAAUAAGAUGCAAACUCCAGGCGAUCAGGGCUCAUGAUCGAAGCCACAGGACAAAGUCCCCGUCCGUAAUGGUUCCAUCCAGCUAAGGAUGUGGCCGAGCGGGGCAGGGAAAGCCCAGGACGAUCUCAGGAGACGGUGCCUGGCUGUUGUCACUUCCACUGAUAGAGAAACUCAGCAGGGUGUGGCCAAGACUGGCUGCACGGGCAGAGCGUGGUGGGAAAGCAGAAGAUACCGGAACCGGGACCUCGGAACUCCAGGUGGCUGGGGAGAGGCAGGCUUCGCUGGCUGCUCAGGGCGCUGAGUCUAAGAACCCCAGAGGGUGGAGGAAGGGGAGAGCCGUCCCAGGUCUGGAAGCGUAGCGUGCAAAGGCGCGAGGCGUAGACCAGGGUGACGAAGGUGACAGAGCUCAGGACGGUCUUGCCUCCCAGGGCCUCUGCCGAUCCCCGGGGUUUCUGCUCUAUCAAGAUGAUGCUGCUUGAACUGGAAGUUGGCAAGGCCGGGAAGGACCUCGGGCUACACUUUGGGUAAAUGCAUAGAGUUCUAUCCAGCUAGCUAACCACUCGGGUUUAACCAUUUUGUGCCACUUAAAACUCCAUUCCAGGCAGGCUGAUUUUCUACGUAGCCUGUUUACUCCCCUCAUGCUCGCUCAGCCUUGGCCUUGCUAAUUUCCCUUCCAAGCAUGCCCUCUUGUGUCCUUGAUGUCUAGCUCUCAACUGUAGUCCAAGUCUGGUUUGGAUUUGGCUUCCUCCAGGAAGCAGACCAUGCUUCUCCCACCCGGGAGCAGCCACCUCCUCUUUCCAACUGCCUUGUGGCGAUGACGGCUUCCUAUCUUGUGUGUACGCCGUACUCCCCUGUUAGAUGGCAGUCUGUGCAGAUAAAAUCCCUUUUAAUUUGUUGUCUCCUGCACCUCGCCGAGGAUCUAGCCUGUGGUAAUAUGCAGUAAGUAGUUGAAAAUGCAAUGAGGAGCGCAUUAGGAGCUGCGGCUCUGGGCUCCCGUUAGGGCUGUUACUGCUGUAGUGAACCGGGCAGCAGGCAGAGGAAGCCCUGGGCGGAGACCCUCCGGAGAGCGCACAGAGACUUUAAUGUGUGGACAAGAGGAGUCCUGUGUUCCGCGAGCUCAGCUGUGGGCCGUUUGAGGCUUCUCUGUCCCCUGCCUGUUCGAUGGAAGACAGAUCACUAAUGCUUCUCUCGGUUUGACAGCUCAGUACGGUUUGGAACGGUCCUGAUGGGGUUCAGAACGCGGUACCCAGAAGGUGGAAUCUUGGCGUUUGAGAAAGCAGCAGAAGCAGGAAGCUCAUUCUCACCUUCCCUGCCCACUCCCCCCCCCCCCACCCCGAGCCAGUCCUAAGACCCUCAUCAGGGACGAGCCCACCCUUCCUUGGUCCUUAUCUUUGAAGACCCAGUGACACGGAGAAGACCCUGCGCACAGAGGCCCUGCUGAGCCCCCUUCUGCCCGCCUGCCCCUUACUGUUGCCUCCUCCCCUGGUGUCUCAUCACGUUUCUCUGCAACUCCCUUCACGAAGCUGAGCCUAAGAAGACACAGGUUCCCCUGUGUCCUUGGAGCUUCAUGUCCCAGGGCUCCUGUGUCCCAUAAACUUACGGUAAGUGAAUUUGCAUGCUUUUUACUUGGCACGCUGUCUUUUGUUGUGGGGGCUUCAGCCCCAAACUCCAGAUGGGAAGAACAGCUAUUUCUUCUUCCCUCCAGCACAUUUCUCUGAUCUGAUGGGGCAACACAGUGUCCGAACAAGGCUGGGAAGGGCCUCGAUUCAGCCGUUCUCUCGAAUUCCAAAGACCUGAUAAACCUGGGCCCUUUUUUCCCCCCUUGGUGCCAGAUCAGCUCUGCUUAUCGACUGCUAUUUUAAUGAAACCUCCUGGUACCGGCUCAGGAAGGAUAUUUUUAUUAGAUACGACUGGGCGGAUUCUCAUGUUGAAAGCAUUUGGUGUAAAACAUGAACGCAUCCAGGCCUCAGAUAUCUUUCCAAAUAUUUCCUUUGAAAUCGGAAAAUUACCAAGGAACUUGUGAUAAAAAGAUGAAAAAAGGAAUUCAAAAGCAGAGAUGACGUGCUUCUCUCCUCGCAUUGCUGCCUGGGUGGGACUUUGGAAACCCACAACAGUAGAAGGUUCGAUGGGGAGAGGAGCUGAGCGAGCAGUCCAGGCCCUGGCUGAGCCUGAAGGGCCAGGAGGAGGGUCGGUGGUCUUGUCCGGUGCUCUCCCCGCCCUUGCAACUUCCCCACUGGGGACUGAAGUCGCACCGAGGCAACGAGGCCAGCUCUGGCUCACAGAGAGUUAACUCUGAAUUCACGAUGUGCCUGGCAUGAUGGUGGCUGAGUCCCAGCACCAGAGAGAACAUUGCCAACGACAUUUAUAGCGAUCCACCCUUCCUUCCCCAUUGGAGAUCUCGUCGGAGCUCAUCCACCUUCCCCAGCUUGAAAUACAGCAGAGAUAGAGACUUGAAGCCCGCGUUCAAACACUGGUUUUGCCACUUUAUGGUUCGGUGAACUUAAGCAAGUCAAUGUACUCCUGUGCCUCAGUUGCCUUAUUGUUAAAAUGUGCAUAAAUAAUAGUGCUUGCAGGAGCGGGAUGGGAGAUAAUUUAUAUAGCACAUUUAACCAUACCCAGUAUUAUUAUUAUUGUUAUUUUUAGAUUUCAUUUAUUUAUUGGAGAGGCAGAGUUAUAAUCAGAGAGAGGGAGAGACAGAGAGAGAGGUCUUCCAUCUGCUGAUUCACUCCCCAAAUGUCUGGAAUGGCCAGAGCUGUGCUGAUGUGAACCCAGGAGCCAGGAGCUUCUUCCAGGUCUCCCUCAUGGGUGCAGGGGCCCAAGGACUUGGGCCAUCUUCUACUGCUUUCCCAGGCACAUCAGCAGGGAGCUAGAUCAGAAGAGGAGCAGCCAGGACUCAAACCAGCGCCCAUAUGGGAUGCUGGCGCUGCAGGCAUAGUAAGAUUUAACUUACUAUGCCACAGCGCUGGCCCCUCAUAGCUGGUAUUAAACACUCAGUCAUUGCUAGCGAUGAAUGCCAUUACCAUACAGACCCAUCUGGCUCGGACCAUGGAGAGUGGGAGGGAUGAGGAAUUAGACCUUUUCCCUCUAGGGACGCGCAGUAAUCACCUGUGAUCCCUGGACAGUUUCCACAUGUACGUGAGCCUUUCUCAGCUCCUGACGGUGUACGAGUCAUUGAGAUUGCUCCCCAGGUUAGCAAAUGUGCCCCGCGACGCUUAGCAAGAAUGCGUGAGCUGCUCUUGUCCUCUAGUGAAAGGUGGAGGCAGAGCUGGAAUCCAGGGCAGAUUCAGGUCAUCCGUAAGGGGCCUUGUUUUCUCCAUAGAGCGAUUUUAGAGGUGCAUUUUGGAGGAUACCAAACAAGGACAAUAAGAGCCAUACAUUUUUUGGAAAUAUUUAUUUUAUUUAUUUGAAAGGCAGAUUUACAGAGAGAGAGAGAGAGAGAGAGAGAGAAAUCCACUGGUUCACUUCCCAGAUGGUUACAGCAUCCGGGGCUGGGCCAGACCGAAGCCAGGAGACUUGAACUCCAUCCAGGUCACCCGCAUUUGGGCCAUCUGCUGGUGCUGCUUUCCCAGGCGCCUUAGCAGGGAGCUAGGUAGGAAGUGGAGCAACCGGGACUCAAUCCAGGGCACCUAUGGGGUGUUGGUGAUGCAGGCAGCAGCUUAACCCAUGUGCUAGGAUGUGCUGGGAUACAAUUAGCAAGACAUUUAUCUCCAGAAUUCCUGCUGCUUACCCAGUGCACCCAAGAUGACUGUCCUAAAUUUCUACUGAAAUUCCCCCUUGCUGUCAUUCAAUCUUAUCCUCCUAGCUUGAUGGGUGGGGAGCCUGAGGCUCAGAGGAGCCACUAGGCACUGGCAGGACCUCAGCAACUUGGGAGGGAAGAGAUGCUGGUGGUGUAUUCUGGAGAAGAACACACGGCACUUGGGCUCCUGUUGGUUUCACUCAGCAGGGCUUGCAGGGAUGUGUGAUUCCUUCACUCCAACCAGGAGAUCAGAGCAGCCUAGUCUGAGAUGUCCCCUGGGGCACAGCUGUUCCAUGAGCUCUUCGGAGCCUCCACCUGGGCCGACCUCCAAGUCCCGGCCAGUCGUGCCUCUGCCCCCCCGCAGGUUUCCCAGCUCACACCUUCCCCUUCCUGCUUCUCCUUGGUUGCUUCCUCUCGAUAGCAUUCCCUGGCCCAAGUCCUUUAAGACACUGGAAAUACUGGAAAUUUCAAAGUCCUAGCUGGGCCUGGUGCCCCUGCUGGUUGGCUGCCUGGUCUGGGCUUCCUGUCCAGGCUCCACUGGUUCUUCCUUAUUUCUGGGGACUGUUUGCUUUGCUCUCAUCUCUUUGUGGAGACAUCUGCUCCCCUGGCCCUUAUCUUUCCUGAUCUACACCGUAACUCUGGCUUAUGGACAACCCUAUCUGGGGCAAGCUGGGACCCUCAGUAUUAUUUUUCUCCCUUCCCUGGCAGCAUGGAUGAUUAGAGUAGUGGCCUUGGGCCAAGUAACCAGGUCUCCCUUUUGCUGGAAUAUAUAAGCAAUGGGAAAUUUGUUUUAUCUUUAAAUUUUUUUUGGCUUAUUUUCAUUUUAUUUGAAAGGCAGAGAGGCAGACAGAGAAACAUCUUCCAUCCCUUGGUUCACUCCCCAAAUGCCUGUCACAGUCGCAGCUGGGCCAGGCUGAGACCAGGAGCCUGGAACUCAAUCUGAGUCACCCAUGUGGGUGGCAGGGAGCUGGGUUACCUGCUGCCUCCCUGGGUGUGCGUCAGCUGGGAGUUGGAUGGGAAGCAGAGGAACAGGAACUCCAAGCGUGUGUUCCCACCUGGCGUGUGGGCUCCCCCUGUGCUGACCGAACUGCUACACCACAUCUCAGCCAUGCCGGGUUGUGGAGUCCCAGGCGGCUCUGUGGCUUGGUCAGCGAUGUGCUUCCUGGACAUGGGGUAGGCAAAUGCCUGGCAGAUUCAUCAUUCAGAUCCAGAGCUGCGUGACUCCAAACCCAUCUUCAAUCAAAAUGAAGUUGGACCUUGGAUUGCGAGACCAGUUUCAUUGUGUAGCUGAUGUGGGUUUUACAGUGUCAUCUUUCUGCUCCCAUUAUGGAUGAAUUCCACUUUCCCAGGCAGCGUUGUAAUUUGUACGGAGUGCACAAGGCCCAGCUGCCGGAGGCUGAAGGUACCGAGAAAGUGCGGAAGGAGUUACAUUCCUGCAUCAAUGGCAAAAUGCAUCUAGGUUUUCAGAACCUAAUGAAAAUGGAAAAUAAGUGUUUGUCCCAUGAUUCAGGACGUUUGGUAAGUUCUGUGAAGGGCCAAAGCUCCUUGCUCCCAGAGGGGGUCAGGCAGAGCUGAGAGGAGAGACCAAUGCCCUGGAGAGCCCGUGCCCGCAUGUCUGCAGCCAACACGAGACCGACAGGUACUUGAGGAGAGGCACAGGGUCCUGUCCCUGCGGGGCCCGCGGCGCCUGACUCAAUGUCCAGCACCAGUGGUAGAGAUCGGGGGCUCUCCUCACCUCCUUCCAGUUUCCGAAGCCCACGCCCUGUCUCUGUCUCCACGUUGGGAGGCUGUGGCAAGCACCGAGUGAGACAGCGCCACCCACCGGUCGGUGCAGGUAAGUUCUCAGAGAUACCACUUGUCCCUUCUUCCUCGUGCUCUGUCUCCUCCAAAAGCCUUGGCCUACUGGGGUCCUUCCGUGGAAACUGAGCUUUGCAAACUGACUCCACAGACCCUUCUUGAGGGCACGCUCCGUCUGUGAGAAGACGCGUCUGUUGGCUUUUCUCUCUCCCCAGAGCGGAGGGCACGGCUCUCUGUAACCAGGGCCUGGAUGUACCCCGAGCUGGAGCCGGCAGAGGCGUGGAUGCUUGGGCUGCAGGGUCAGCGGCCACCCCAGGGCACCCCUCCUCUCUGCCUCCUCCCCUCGUGGGCAUACGACACUGCCCCUUGAUGAAGUCCAGGUCCUAGGUGUGGCGCCCAAGUGUUGGUCCUUCGGCGCUAGCUGCACUUGCAGCUUUAGUUGGGACUUAGGAAGAGAAGCGUGCCUUGGAUUGCAGCAGUGAGAGGGUCCCUGUCUUUGUCACCUGCCCAGAAUGUGGGAGGUGUUAGACUCAUCCCACGAGAGGUAAGAAGAGCUUUCCCUUCCGAAGAAGCAAUUCAUCCACUUUCUCACGGCUGGGCUUUGGAAGCAGGAAGUUGGAAUUUGAAGUCCAGUUCCGGGUUUUUCUGAGCCAUCUUCUGUGCUGUUCCCUCUGCCAUGAGCACCUCUGCUGGCAGAAAUGGCCCCACUCAAAAGCUUCCUCACCAUCGCGACAUGCCACCUCCUUCCUGAGGCCGAUGCAUUGACCUUUUCAGAGGUAAAAAAAAAUAUAUGCAUAUUAGUGGUUUUGCUCUCAUUUAAAUUCAUCCAGGUAGAGAUGAACCUUGUAAGCUGUGCUGCAGGUGAGGGUUACUUCCCCCAAGAACAGUAGGAGCCAGAGAAGCAUUUAGUGCAGGGGAUGAUAAGCUCACACCGUGUGUUAGAUCACUCAGGCAGGGUGGUGGAGAACAGACUCUACAAGGGAGAAACAGAGGCCAUUAGCAACCCAGGAAUUAAUUGGGUUUCUGUCUGCUGGUACUCAGACCCAUUCCUUUGUUUUCCUCUAAUCUUUGCUCCCUAUUUUCAGCAAGAAGCCAGGAUACUCUCUCUCUCUCUCUCUCCCUCCCCCCAUCUCUCCCUCUCCCCCUCCCUGUCUCUCUCUCCUCUCCCCUUCUCUCCUUCUUUCCCCCAUCCUCCACUCCUUGCUAAAUAAGCCUGCUUGGUUCAUUGUUCAGCAGGAGAGCCCGGAUUCUAGUAAUUCUACCUGUUCUCUUUGCUUCUAAGGAAGGUCACAGCUUCCUGAUGCUAUGAAUCUCUACCUUAUCUCACCGGUUUGGUGGCUGUUAUUUUUCUGUGGGCAUUGACUGAGAUAGCAGUCUUUGAAAUUGUUCCUAUGAAAGAUGUGGAGCCCAGCUUAGGACUGGCCACAAGCCUGGAGAAGUAAAGAAGGUUUGGAGAGCUUCUUAAUCAGAAUCCUACCUAGAGUUUCAGUCCCUGUUCCCCUUGCCACCUGCUGUACUCCUUACCAUGAGAACAUGCUACUAUUGGACUAGUGUUUACUAGGACUCAAAUCUUGUUGGUCUUUUCAUGCCCCUUGGAGCGUCACUCAGCCUGCAGAGAAAGAUGGUGCCAUGAAGAUUUUAUCACCAACUUUCAUGUUCCUUUGGAAUAAAACACACGAGGAGACAAAAUUGAGAAGCAAGAAACAAUUUCCCUUCUAGUCAGUGGACCAGGGAGGAAUGUCAACUGCAAAGGCCAGGAGGCAGAAUCAUUGAGAACGUUGAAGCCACAUGUAUCAGAAGGUCCCUUGAGAAUGAGCCCUGACCUUGACAUCAUCUGGGAUCAUCUAGAUACGGGCAUUCUACGUGCAUCUGUUUGUAUGUGAGGCUGAGGGCAGUUGUGGUGAAAGGCUCUCCUUGAAGGACUUGGGUUAUUUGGUUGAGUGGGAAGGACUGACUGCGUACAGUCUUAAGCAAAUGGAGACCAUGGGACAGAGACUCAUGUCAUUGGUUUCACCUGCUCUGCCUAAUUUGGAAGGUGGAGCUGUCAUAACUGGUGGGUCAUUAGAAUAACUUUGAAGCAAGAGUACAGGGAAAUUGCUCUGAUCCAGCCUUUGGAUUUCAGUUCCUCCUCUCCAAAUCAGGAUCACACAUGCAGGCCAGCUGUCCACUUGCACGGUCCUGAUGGAGGGUCUAAGUCAGAGGCAGGGGUGGGCUGACGGUGUUUGGCGCAUUGGCUUAGAGGCUGCUUGGGACGUCUGCAUAAAGGAGUGCUGGUUCGAGUUCCAGUCCCUCAGGUUCCACCCCAGCUCCCUGCUAACGUGCCUGGGAAGGCAGCAGAAGAUGGCCCAAGUGCUCAGGCCCCUGCCGCCCAUGUAGGAGACCAGAAUGCAGUUCCUGGCUCUUGGGUUCAGUCUGGCUUAGCCCUGGAUGUUGUGGUCAUUUAGGGAGUGAACCAGUGGAUAGAAGAGCUCUGUUUCUCUCUCUCUCUCUCUCACUUUCUUUCUCUCCUUUCUGUGUCUCCCCUUCUCUAACUCUGUUGUUCUGCUUUUCAGAUAAAUACAUAACUAAACCUCAAAAAAAGAAAGAAAAAGGAAAGAAAGGAAGGAAGGAAGGAAGGAAGGAAGGAAGGAAGGAAGGAAAGAAGGAAAGAAGGAAAGAAGGAAAGAAGGAAAGAAGGAAAGAAGGAAAGAAGGAAAGAAAGAAAGAAAGAAAGAAAGAAAGAAAGAAAGAAAGAAAGAAAGAAAGAAAAGAGAGUCCCUAGGGCCGCUGGGUCUCUGCAAACCACCCUCACAGUUUGUGUUGAGUUCUCUCGGGCGUAGUGGGCAGGAGCCCUCCAGCCUCUUCCCGCGACGCCUAGAUCCUUACACCACGCCCCCUUUUAAUUGUUCCUGCUGAGGAGGAAGUCAUUAAACUGAAAGAACCAGCAAUGGUGCUUGUUCCACCAAAGAGAGUGGGGACUGGCACUGAGAACCCUCCUUCCGGUUCCUCCGUUGCAGCCUCCUGCUGCAGUGCUGGGCGGGGCCUAUCCUCAGGGCCCUCUUCUUCCCUUUCCGGAUUCCCUGCGCCUGAGGCUGGGUGGGUCAGUAGCCUGGCUGCUUGUUCACAGUGCACGUCUGUAUCCCGCUCCACACAGCAGGGUCUAAAUCUGCAAAGCUGAGCAACGGGUUUGGUGACCCCCAAAGCUCUCUUACACCAGGGUUUCCUGGUGUUUGGGGCUGGGUCAUGUUUGCUGGGGGUGGGGGGGGGGCUCUAUGUACAUCACAGGCUGGUGCCAGCCUUCCUGGCCUCCACCCUCUCUACUUGUGACAAUCAAAACUGUCUGCAGAUAUCACCAAAUGCCCCCAGAGGGGCAAAACGGCCCCCACCGAGGACUGCCGCCCUCCAUUUCUGGCUUUCAGCUCGCACUUUGCAGGACCGGACAGUUGCUUAUGGUUUCUGGACACACGUGGGCCGGUCUCAGAAAGCCGCAUCGCUGCUUGGUUCAGCUCUCUCUUCCUAACUCACAGCCAUGUACGGAGGCCUGGCCCAUGCACCCUAAGGGAAGCUUUUCCUCUUGGGUCCCUUGAGUUGGCCUCAGAGACUCCAAGCUGGCAGCAAGCCACCAGCAGGGGCGUCACCUGCUUCCUGGCCCCUGAGAACUCCUGGGGAUGGUUGGUUUGGCUCGGAGCCCACAGAGGGGAGAGGCCGAUGUGGAGGGAGCAGGGCAGCCAUGAGAGAAUGCAGGAAUGGGCCCAGGAAUGUCCGUAGCUUCAUUGGAAACAGAUGCCUGUGGAGGUGGCUGGCUGGGGCCCUGCCUGCCUCGGGCCAGUGUACUUGGCGGCUGCUCCUCCCCACAUCCCCCUCCCUCCCCUCUCCUCCCCACCCCCACAAGCACCACCAGACCAUUAUUUAAGAGAAGGGCUCUGAUUUAAGGUAAGCUGGAGGGUGGGGUGGGGGGUGAUAUAGGAAUAAAACCUGCUCUCUUGGGAACAUAAACGUACAUGAUAUGAUUAUAUACGCAUCUGAUCACAGAUGGCUGAGAUUAAAGAACAUCGGGGAGUAAGGGCCCAUUCAACAUCCUCACAUUAAAGAGGAGAAAUCAAGACUGAAACCAGCAACAGCCCAGGAAUCCAGAGGGAGAUCGCAAACUCGCCUCCUCACGGAGACACGGGCAAGCCUUGGGGGCUCCAGCUGACCUUACAGCGCGUGGAAAGACGCUGCAAGCCCCGCCAGUAGACGCGACACAGAUGAGGUCCCACAGGCUGGGUCUCCUCCAGGGGCGGGGUCUGCUUCCUCUUCCUGGGCACGCAGAGCAUUUGGCCGGGAGCUCACCGGAGCCCUUCGUACGCAGUAGCUGGCUGAAUUCUCACAGCUUUCUGAUAAAAGAUGUAUUACCACCAUCGCAAUCUAUCAAGGAGAAAACGGACCCCCGUGAAGACAUGUGGCUCGUAACUUUUGGACCCAGAAUCUAAACUGAAAUCUCAUUGGCUCCCAAGUCCAUCAUGGAACUGUCAUCCCAGGGCACCAGAGUGACGAGCCAUCAUUUUCCAGGCUCAGCUGUCACCCAUGGGGCCCCGGGGACUCCAGUCUCCCCUGAGCUCACCUCUCUGCUGCUCCAUGACUCACGGACACUCUCGGAUACCGCUGUCUUCACAGAGCGCCCUCCUCCUCUCUCACUUCCCUGUUUGACUUCCUGGAUCUCCAGGCUAAAGGGCUUGGGGGGCGGGGAUUGAGAAGCAGGGGCCUGUGAGAAACCUUGUGGUCAGAUGUAAGUGGUUGGAAUCUGAGCUCUACUUAACCUGAGACAUUCUUGACCUUCCUCAUCCUCAGUUUUUCAGUCUAUCAAAUGGGAAUAAAUAUAUGAAUGGACAGCUUGAUGGAUGGAUGGAUGAAAGAGUGAAAGGAGGGACUGAUUAAAAAAUGAAAUCACUAAAUUGAAGGUGACAGGUGGCAGGGUAACGCUGACUGGAAUUCACAUGCAUGAAUGGGUCAGCGUGAUAUUUGCUUUGAAGAGAUAAGAUGCUCUCUCUCACUCAGGAUGAGAGGGCCCACAAGUGCAAGGUAGGAGGGAAGUGAGGUCAAGACCAAGUCAGUUCUGUCUUAGGUCAACAGUUACCGGAUUUGUGCUAAGAAUCAUCAGUUAGAUGUUUCAUAAAACAGUGUUCUAUGGUGAAUUGGGGAAAUUUAACCUGCUCUUGAAGAUUUACAUCUAUAAGAAUAUGUUGAUGCCUUUGAUGUCUUAUAGAUUUUAUAAUAAUAAAAAAUAAGUACUUAAAAUUCAGUGAUUUUGAAAACCUUUGCUCCCAGGAGGAAGCCCAGGCUGCGGUAUGGGCACUUUGCACAGCAUGGCCGAGGAGGCACAGCACUCUCAAACCUGUGUCCCUUUGCAUGGGUUGGUGGUCACCAAGAAUCCACAGUGGUGUGGGUGCAUUCUCCCGGGUGGUCAUAGGAUGGAAUUAGGAUUGGGUAAGCUCUCCAUUUCACAGAUGAGUGGGUGGGGCUCAGACAGGCCGAAUGCAUGGUCUGAGUUCACACAGCUGGAGACAGGCAAGUUGGACUCCAGGCUAGAUCACGCCAUGCCAAGUUGGUUCUUUCAGAACCGUGUUUUCUCCUGCUGGGUAGCUGUAGAGGCCUCUGGCGUCUGCUUGGCUGUGUCUCAUGGCCAGACCUCUUGAGCUAGGCCUGGGCAGCCGCAGGCACUUCGCUUUGUGUGUGUGGCAGUACUGAGUGCACUUCAUCGCCUGCGAAGCCCCUCUCCAGCAAAGGACAAUGCAGCCAGAGAGAAGGCUCGCGCCAACGAAGGCAGUGAUGCCACUCCCGGUGGAGCACUUUGCAGGUUUAGGAGUCCUUUCACACAUGGUGUCCCUUUUGAUUGUCACAGCUGCCUGUGCACAAGCAGGCCUGGCGAUCUUUUGUUCUCAUCUGACCAGGAAGAGAGCUGACGUUCAGAGAGGUUAAGACGAAGCGAAAACUCACGCAGUGUUUUCCAAAGCAAGCCAGCCACUCAACUUCACCUCCUCCUUCCUGACUAUUUCCAACACCUGGCUUGGUGUCCCUUCUAGUGCACGGUGGAAACAAGUCUUCCUUGGUGCCUCACUGGCUUCCUGCCUUUAAAAUGAAAAUUUCAAAAUAGAGAAAUACUCGGAGACAAGAGAACAAACACCUGUAAUCCUGUCAUCCACAGAUAACCACUGUGUGUUUGCUUCUUGUAAUUGUUUUAUGCAUAUUUGCCUAUUAUUAAAUUUUCUCCAGAGCAUAAUUUUAAAUGUCUGCAAAGAAUUGCGUUUUA